Molecule: ribosomal RNA, 463 nt
Filed under: uncultured bacterium
Lineage: Bacteria
Description: partial 16S ribosomal RNA
Rfam family: Bacterial small subunit ribosomal RNA
Source: RNAcentral
AUGAACGCUGGCGGCGUGCUUAACACAUGCAAGUCGAACGGAAAGGCCCCUUUGGGGGUACUCGUGUGGCGAACGGGUGAGUAACACGUGAGUAACCUGCCCUUGACUUCGGGAUAACUUCAGGAAACUGGGGCUAAUACCGGAUAGGAAUCCUUGCUGCAUGGUGGGGGUUGGAAAGCUUCGGCGGUUUUGGAUGGACUCGCGGCUUAUCAGCUUGUUGGUGGGGUAGUGGCUUACCAAGGCUUUGACGGGUAGCCGGCCUGAGGGGGCGACCGGCCACAUUGGGACUGAGAUACGGCCCAGACUCCUACGGGAGGCAGCAGGGGGGAAUUUUGCACAAGGGGCGGAAGCCUGAUGCAGCAACGCCGGGGGGGGGAUGACGGCCUUCGGUUUGUAAACCGCUUUCGCCAGGGGCGAAGCUUGUGGUGAGGGUACCGGCAAAAAAAGAACCGCCAAACUACGG